Molecule: ribosomal RNA, 793 nt
Filed under: Salmonella enterica
Lineage: Bacteria; Pseudomonadati; Pseudomonadota; Gammaproteobacteria; Enterobacterales; Enterobacteriaceae
Description: partial 23S ribosomal RNA
Rfam family: Bacterial large subunit ribosomal RNA
Source: RNAcentral
AGACCCGAAACCCGGUGAUCUAGCCAUGGGCAGGUUGAAGGUUGGGUAACACUAACUGGAGGACCGAACCGACUAAUGUUGAAAAAUUAGCGGAUGACCUGUGGCUGGGGGUGAAAGGCCAAUCAAACCGGGAGAUAGCUGGUUCUCCCCGAAAGCUAUUUAGGUAGCGCCUCGUGAAUUCAUCUCCGGGGGUAGAGCACUGUUUCGGCUAGGGGGCCAUCCCGGCUUACCAACCCGAUGCAAACUGCGAAUACCGGAGAAUGUUAUCACGGGAGACACACGGCGGGUGCUAACGUCCGUCGUGAAGAGGGAAACAACCCAGACCGCCAGCUAAGGUCCCAAAGUCAUGGUUAAGUGGGAAACGAUGUGGGAAGGCCCAGACAGCCAGGAUGUUGGCUUAGAAGCAGCCAUCAUUUAAAGAAAGCGUAAUAGCUCACUGGUCGAGUCGGCCUGCGCGGAAGAUGUAACGGGGCUAAACCAUGCACCGAAGCUGCGGCAGCGACACUGUGUGUUGUUGGGUAGGGGAGCGUUCUGUAAGCCUGUGAAGGUGUGUCGUGAGGCAUGCUGGAGGUAUCAGAAGUGCGAAUGCUGACAUAAGUAACGAUAAAGCGGGUGAAAAGCCCGCUCGCCGGAAGACCAAGGGUUCCUGUCCAACGUUAAUCGGGGCAGGGUGAGUCGACCCCUAAGGCGAGGCCGAAAGGCGUAGUCGAUGGGAAACGGGUUAAUAUUCCCGUACUUGGUGUUACUGCGAAGGGGGGACGGAGAAGGCUAUGUUGGCCGGGCGACGGUUGUC